Molecule: ribosomal RNA, 253 nt
Filed under: uncultured bacterium
Lineage: Bacteria
Description: partial 16S ribosomal RNA
Rfam family: Bacterial small subunit ribosomal RNA
Source: RNAcentral
UACAGAGGGGGCAAGCGUUGUUCGGAAUUACUGGGCGUAAAGGGCGCGUAGGCGGCCGCCUAAGUCAGACGUGAAAUCCCUCGGCUCAACCGGGGAACUGCGUCUGAUACUGGGUGGCUUGAAUCCGGGAGAGGGAUGCGGAAUUCCAGGUGUAGCGGUGAAAUGCGUAGAUAUCAAGAGGAACACCUGCGGCGAAGGCGGGUUGCUGGGCCGACACUGACGCUGAGGCGCGAAAGCUAGGGGAGCGAACGGG